RNAcentral lists this ribosomal RNA (780 nucleotides) under uncultured Neocallimastigales. Its description in RNAcentral is "partial large subunit ribosomal RNA". It matches the Rfam family "Eukaryotic large subunit ribosomal RNA", at positions 24 to 614 of the family's 3401-position model. The record is from RNAcentral. Lineage: Eukaryota; Fungi; Neocallimastigomycota; Neocallimastigomycetes; Neocallimastigales.
UAUCUCUGUAGAGUCUGCAUAUCAAUAAGCGGAGGAAAAGAAACUAACUAGGAUUCCCUCAGUAACGGCGAGCGAAGCGGGAAGAGCUCAAAUUUGAAAUCUUCAAGGUUCUACCUUGACGAAUUGUAGUUUAAAGAAGUGUUUUCUGUUGGAGUUUUGGUAAAAGUUCUUUGGAAUAGGACAUCAUAGAGGGUGAGAAUCCCGUAUUUGACCAUUAUUUCCAGCUUUGUGAUACACUUUCAAAGAGUCGGAUUGUUUGGGAAUGCAGUCCAAAAUGGGUGGUAAAUUUCAUCUAAAGCUAAAUAUUGGCGAGAGACCGAUAGCGAACAAGUACCGUGAGGGAAAGAUGAAAAGAACUUUGAAAAGAGAGUUAAACAGUACGUGAAAUUGUCAAAAGGGAAGCGUUUGACACCAGUGUUGUUUUCCUCGAAAAUCAAUUAAAAAAUGGACGGGAUUUUGUGUUGUAUUGACUUUAUCAGCUUUCUGCACUCUUUUCCUUGUCUUUUUUAAUGCACUUUUCGUUUAACAAGUCAACAUCAAUUUCUUUUGUUGUAAAAGGGUCAUUGGAAGGUGGCUUUCUUUUCGGAGAAAGUGUUUAUAGCCUUUGGCCUCUGCAAUCGGAGAGAUUGAGGUCUGCAGCGUAGAUCCUUCGGGGUUAGAUACAUUCUGUGCUAAGCUAUAGCCUUUCAUAGACAACUUGUUGACUAUGAUUAGUCAUGUAGCUUACCUCGCUGCUGCUAUUUUACCUACGCUUAGGAUGUUGAGUCAUCACACAUCUCU